RNAcentral lists this ribosomal RNA (246 nucleotides) under uncultured bacterium. RNAcentral's name for it is "partial small subunit ribosomal RNA". It matches the Rfam family "Bacterial small subunit ribosomal RNA", at positions 26 to 286 of the family's 1533-position model. The record is from RNAcentral.
AGAAUCAACGCUGGCGGCGUGCCUAACACAUGCAAGUCGAACGAGAAAGGGUAGCAAUACCUGAGUACAGUGGCGCACGGGUGAGUAACACGUGACUAACCUACCCUGGAGUGGGGAAUAACUGAGGGAAACCUUAGCUAAUACCGCAUAAUACCUACGGGUCGAAGGAGCAAUUCGCUUCAGGAGGGGGUCGCGGCCGAUUAGUUAGUUGGCGGGGUAAUGGCCCACCAAGACAGUGAUCGGUAU